CAAGACUCCUACGGGAGGCAGCAGUGGGGAAUAUUGGGCAAUGGGCGCAAGCCUGACCCAGCAACGCCGCGUGAAGGAAGAAGGCUUUCGGGUUGUAAACUUCUUUUGUCAGGGACGAAGCAAGUGACGGUACCUGACGAAUAAGCCACGGCUAACUACGUGCCAGCAGCCGCGGUAAUACGUAGGUGGCAAGCGUUAUCCGGAUUUAUUGGGUGUAAAGGGCGUGUAGGCGGGAAUGCAAGUCAGAUGUGAAAGCCGGGGGCUCAACCCCCGAACUGCAUUUGAAACUGUAGGUCUUGAGUAUCGGAGAGGCAGGCGGAAUUCCUAGUGUAGCGGUGAAAUGCGUAGAUAUUAGGAGGAACACCAGUGGCGAAGGCGGCCUGCUGGACGACAACUGACGGUGAGGCGCGAAAGCGUGGGGAGCAAACAGGAUUAGAUACCCCAGUACG
Molecule: ribosomal RNA, 449 nt
Filed under: uncultured bacterium
Lineage: Bacteria
Description: bacterial SSU rRNA
Rfam family: Bacterial small subunit ribosomal RNA
Source: RNAcentral